Molecule: long non-coding RNA, 282 nt
Filed under: Gossypium barbadense (sea-island cotton)
Lineage: Eukaryota; Viridiplantae; Streptophyta; Magnoliopsida; Malvales; Malvaceae
Description: long non-coding RNA (GBAR_LNC002058)
Source: RNAcentral
UAACAUAAUUAAAAGAAAAUUUUAUUUUGAGAGGAAAUAAUUUCAAUUUUUCGGUCCUAUUACUUAAUAUGAACAAUGUACUCAUUGUUAGAAGUGAAUAGAUACUAUAGACCAGGUAGGAUUCUAGAAAAGAGGAGGUGAGUUAAUAUGACUGCUUAAGUACCAAGCUCUCUCUAGGUCCAAUCCUAGACAUGUACAUAUCUAUUGCCACACUUCUUAUUUUGCAACUUGUUCAUUUUUAUUUAUGAUUUCCACGUCUGAUCUUAUUAUGCAAAAAGUAAA